This 85-nucleotide transfer RNA is filed under the name Roseiflexaceae bacterium. RNAcentral's name for it is "tRNA-Leu". It matches the Rfam family "tRNA". From Rfam's summary of the family: Transfer RNA (tRNA) molecules are approximately 80 nucleotides in length. Their secondary structure includes four short double-helical elements and three loops (D, anti-codon, and T loops). Further hydrogen bonds mediate the characteristic L-shaped molecular structure. tRNAs have two regions of fundamental functional importance: the anti-codon, which is responsible for specific mRNA codon recognition, and the 3' end, to which the tRNAs corresponding amino acid is attached (by aminoacyl-tRNA synthetases). tRNAs cope with the degeneracy of the genetic code in two manners: having more than one tRNA (with a specific anti-codon) for a particular amino acid; and 'wobble' base-pairing, i.e. permitting non-standard base-pairing at the 3rd anti-codon position. The record is from RNAcentral. Lineage: Bacteria; Bacillati; Chloroflexota; Chloroflexia; Chloroflexales; Roseiflexaceae.
GGGGACGUGGCGGAAUUGGCAGACGCGCUAGACUUAGGAUCUAGUGCCGCAAGGCGUAAGGGUUCAAGUCCCUUCGUCCCCACCA